GAUGAAGAACGUAGCGAAAUGCGAUAAGUAAUGUGAAUUGCAGAAUUCAGUGAAUCAUCGAGUCUUUGAACGCACAUUGCGCCCCCUGGUAUUCCGGGGGGCAUGCCUGUCCGAGCGUCAUUGCCGCCCUCAAGCACGGCUUGUGUGUUGGGCCCCCGCCCCCCGGCUUCGGGGGGCGGGCCCGAUAGGCAGCGGCGGCACCGCGUCCGGUCCUCGAGCGUAUGGGGCUUCGUCACCCGCUCUGUAGGCCCGGCCGGCGCCCGCCGGCGACCCCAAUCAAUCUUUCCAGGUUGACCUCGGAUCAGGUAGGGAUACCCGCUGAACUUAAGCAUAUCAAUAAGCGGAGGA
This 348-nucleotide unclassified non-coding RNA is filed under the name soil metagenome. Its description in RNAcentral is "partial contains 5.8S ribosomal RNA, internal transcribed spacer 2, and large subunit ribosomal RNA". The stretch from base 1 to 120 matches the Rfam family "5.8S ribosomal RNA", at positions 35 to 154 of the family's 154-position model. The record is from RNAcentral.